RNAcentral lists this long non-coding RNA (943 nucleotides) under Gossypium barbadense (sea-island cotton). RNAcentral's name for it is "long non-coding RNA (GBAR_LNC013899)". Lineage: Eukaryota; Viridiplantae; Streptophyta; Magnoliopsida; Malvales; Malvaceae. The record is from RNAcentral.
AAAAAACAAAAAAAAAAUUUCCUUUUCUCUCAAGCAGGCCCAGAAUCUGGCCAAACUCCGGCGAGUGGCCACUGCGCCGGCCGCCAGUUGCCGGCACCGGCGCCGCCGUUCACGGCGGCGGGGAGUAAAAAAUCUCGCCUUUUUUAAACUGUUUUUAGAUCCCGUUCAAUAGUCAAACUGCUUUGGCUCAAAAGGAUGACCCUUGGCCCCUUCUCCUCUCGGAUCCGAUGUUCUUGAAGGAGGAGAGCCCUCCGACGGUGAACCCGCAAGGCAAAUCAGGUAAGCCCGUUCCCCUUUUACUUCUUAUUUAUUAUGCUUAAAAAAAAACAAACAGAAAGAGCAAACAAGGAAAAAAAAAACCGAAUCUAAGGGAAAAAAAAACCUCCGUUUUGUAUUUUAUUUUUUCAAAUCUUUUUUCUUCGUAUUUUCCUCUCUAUUUUUGUAUGUCUUUACACUCAAGACCCCCUUUUCAGAUCUCCCCCCACGGCUUUUAAAUAGUCGAAAAUAACAACAAAAUAAGCAACAAAAUCAUAUCUCCCUUCAAUAUUGGUUGCGAUUUUUGCUACUACUCUGCUAUUGCUGCGCCAUAUGCUUCUUUUUCGCAGGUGUGGUGGCUCUUGAGUGCGUGCGACGCGUGGGAGCGACAAGCGCGAUGUGCGGCGCUUGCGGAGGGGUGGUGCGCAGGGUGAUGCAGCGCUGAAGCAGAAAGGGCUAGGGUUUCUGGACUGGGCUAGGGUUAAUGUAAUUGGGCUAAAUUUUUGGGUUUAGUCUGUAGAUGGGUAAUUGGGUCUGCUAUGUUUUUAUUUUAUAUGGGCCUGGGCAGAAAAAUUGGGUAUUACAAUAUAUAUUAAAAAAAACUGUUGUAUGUUUCUUAUUUAUUUAUUUUAAACUGUUAUUAUUAUUCAUUUUAAGUUUUUAUAUACUGUUUAUUUAAAGCCUUUUA